Dreissena polymorpha is the source of this 882-nucleotide long non-coding RNA. RefSeq lists it as uncharacterized. Lineage: Eukaryota; Metazoa; Mollusca; Bivalvia; Myida; Dreissenidae. The transcript is spliced from 3 exons. The record is from RefSeq and is a predicted model, not a curated record.
UUUCAGAUUGGGUAAAAUGGUGGGUCAAACGUCCAUUUUACGGCCGUAUUGUUGGGUCUUUAGUCGAUUGUCGGGUCCCAAAGUCGAUUAUCGGGCACUUGGACCCGACAGUUGAAGACCCACUUAAAAAAAGGCUGCUUAACAUACUCAUGACUAUUUUUAAAUUCAAAUUUGCAUGUGUAAUUUUACUCGAAUUGUCGGGCCUAUAUCUCCCAUUAGCACACAUUAGGUCAAACUCCACACAGCAGUUACUUCCCUUGGGCAUUCGCCAAUCAUUAAUGUCUUUUUCUAGAAUAAGGGAGGCCACUGCGUAUGAGAUUGACCAACCUCGGCGCAGUGAUUUACCGGGAACCAGCAUAGCAACGAACGACAACUCGGCGCCCGACAACUCUGUAAUAUAAAUUGCCAAUUUUCGCGGUUAAACUUAAAAAGAGUCCAUGUCAACUGCUGACAGUGAAGAGCCAGGCAGUCUGACCCAUGAUAGGAGGGAGCCAAGUGAAGAGCCAGCCAGUCUGACCCAUGAUAGGAGGGAGCCAAGUGAAGAGCCAGCCAGUCUGACCCAUGAUUCUUGACAUGACUCAUGGUGAACUAAAAUUGCUUGCAAAGCAUCUGGGACAUGAUGUGAAGACCCACAAGGAAUAUUAUCAGUUGUCUUCCAGUACCAUGGAACUCUCAAAGGUAUAUAUUUCAUUAAUAAAAAUCUUUAAAUUUUCCAUACACAGAUAUUUGAAAAACUAAAUGCUAUAUUGUAACUAAGAGGGCUAAAAGAAAGAAUAAUUUAACAGGCAGCCACAGUAAGACCAUAUCUGAUGUUGACUUUGACUAGUAUGCUUUGCAUUAAUGGCUUUUUAUGCCCCCUGGAUCGAAUGAACGGGGGUAUAU